This 497-nucleotide ribosomal RNA is filed under the name uncultured bacterium. RNAcentral describes it as "partial 16S ribosomal RNA". It matches the Rfam family "Bacterial small subunit ribosomal RNA", at positions 28 to 507 of the family's 1533-position model. The record is from RNAcentral.
GAUGAACGCUGGCGGCGUGCCUAAUACAUGCAAGUCGAGCGAACAGACGAGGAGCUUGCUCCUUUGACGUUAGCGGCGGACGGGUGAGUAACACGUGGAUCACCUACCUAUAAGACUGGGAUAACUUCGGGAAACCGGAGCUAAUACCGGAUAAUAUAUUGAACCGCAUGGUUCAAUAGUGAAAGACGGUUUUGCUGUCACUUAUAGAUGGAUCCGCGCCGCAUUAGCUAGUUGGUAAGGUAACGGCUUACCAAGGCAACGAUGCGUAGCCGACCUGAGAGGGUGAUCGGCCACACUGGAACUGAGACACGGUCCAGACUCCUACGGGAGGCAGCAGUAGGGAAUAUUCGGCAAUGGGCGAAAGCUUGACGGAGCAACGCCGCGUGAGUGAUGAAGGUCUUCGGAUCGUAAAGCCCUGUUAUUGGGGAAGAACAAAUGUGGAUUUAUCUAUGGACGUCUUGACGGUACCUAAUGAAAAAGCACCGGCUAACUACGUG